This 253-nucleotide ribosomal RNA is filed under the name uncultured bacterium. Its description in RNAcentral is "partial 16S ribosomal RNA". It matches the Rfam family "Bacterial small subunit ribosomal RNA", at positions 524 to 776 of the family's 1533-position model. The record is from RNAcentral.
UACGUAGGGUGCAAGCGUUGUCCGGAAUUAUUGGGCGUAAAGAGCUCGUAGGCGGUCUGUCGCGUCGGCUGUGAAAGCCCGGGGCUCAACCCCGGGCCUGCAGUCGAUACGGGCAGACUAGAGUGUGGUAGGGGAGACUGGAAUUCCUGGUGUAGCGGUGAAAUGCGCAGAUAUCAGGAGGAACACCGGUGGCGAAGGCGGGUCUCUGGGCCGUAACUGACGCUGAGGAGCGAAAGCAUGGGGAGCGAACAGG